UAGUCCUAGCCAUAAACGAUGUUGACUAGGUGUCAGCGGUCUAAACCCCGUUGGUGCCGGAGCAAACGCACUAAGUCAACCGCCUGGGGACUACGGCCGCAAGGUUAAAACUCAAAGGAAUUGACGGGGACCCGCACAAGCAGCGGAGCGUGUGGUUUAAUUCGAGGCUACGCGAAGAACCUUACCAGGGAUUGACAUGACGGUAGUAGUGAAGCGAAAGCGGAACGACCCUUCGGGGAGCCGUCACAGGUGAUGCAUGGCUGUCGUCAGCUCGUGCCGUGAGGUGUUUGGUUAAGUCCACUAACGAGCGCAACCCCUAGUGCCAGUUACACGUGUCUGGCACGACUGCCGGUAUUAAGCCGGAGGAAGGUGGGGAUGACGUCAAGUCAGCAUGUCCUUUAUAUCCUGGGCUACACACACGCUACAAUGGCCGGUACAAUGGGUUGCCAAGCCGCGAGGCGGAGCCAAUCCUCAAAAGCCGGUCUCAGUUCGGAUUGCGGGCUGCAACUCGCCUGCAUGAAGUCGGAGUCGCUAGUAACCGCAGGACAGCUAUACUGCGGUGAAUACGUUCCCGGGUCUUGUACACACCGCCCGUCACGUCAUGGGAGCUGG
This 612-nucleotide ribosomal RNA is filed under the name uncultured bacterium. RNAcentral's name for it is "bacterial SSU rRNA". It matches the Rfam family "Bacterial small subunit ribosomal RNA", at positions 791 to 1414 of the family's 1533-position model. The record is from RNAcentral.